Molecule: ribosomal RNA, 528 nt
Filed under: Triticum aestivum (bread wheat)
Lineage: Eukaryota; Viridiplantae; Streptophyta; Magnoliopsida; Poales; Poaceae
Description: partial small subunit ribosomal RNA
Source: RNAcentral
AUGGAGGACAAACUUUGUGAUUGGUUUUGGAAUACAUUUUCACAGACAGAUACAUUUCUGAAAAUAUUUUGCUAUGGAGAAUCUCUGAACUUGACUUUAAAGCACUGUUUAGAGGACAAACUUUGUGAUUGGUUUUGGAAUACAUUUUCACAGACAGAUACAUUUUCACAGACGGCUCUUGACAUCUCUAAUAACCAAAUAAGUGGCAGCUUGCCAACACAUCUAGAUGGCAUGUCUUUUAAAAGACUCUACCUAAGUUCAAGUUCAAUGCCUUGGUUGCUGACAAAUAUCAACAGGUUCGACAUCUCCAACAAUAACUUUUCAGGACUGAUACCUUCACAUUUUGACGCUCCCCGGCUUCAAAUGUUGCUUAUCUAUUCAAAUCGAAUUGAUUCACAGAUUUGGAGUUUUGGAUCUUGCAUGGAACAAGUUGUCUGGAAGAUUGCAUACAUGGAUAGGAGAUCUGGGGAAAUUAUGUUUGUACUUUGGACCACACUGCAAUUUUUUCUGAUAUUCCAGUCAACGUAG